Molecule: non-coding RNA, 841 nt
Filed under: Epicoccum sorghinum
Lineage: Eukaryota; Fungi; Ascomycota; Dothideomycetes; Pleosporales; Didymellaceae
Also listed under: 1 other name
Description: eukaryotic LSU rRNA
Rfam family: Eukaryotic large subunit ribosomal RNA
Source: RNAcentral
GCGGAGGAAAAGAAACCAACAGGGAUUGCCCUAGUAACGGCGAGUGAAGCGGCAACAGCUCAAAUUUGAAAUCUGGCGUCUUCGGCGUCCGAGUUGUAAUUUGCAGAGGGCGCUUUGGCAUUGGCAGCGGUCCAAGUUCCUUGGAACAGGACGUCACAGAGGGUGAGAAUCCCGUACGUGGUCGCUAGCCUUUACCGUGUAAAGCCCCUUCGACGAGUCGAGUUGUUUGGGAAUGCAGCUCUAAAUGGGAGGUAAAUUUCUUCUAAAGCUAAAUACUGGCCAGAGACCGAUAGCGCACAAGUAGAGUGAUCGAAAGAUGAAAAGCACUUUGGAAAGAGAGUUAAAAAGCACGUGAAAUUGUUGAAAGGGAAGCGCUUGCAGCCAGACUUGCCUGUAGUUGCUCAUCCGGGUUUCUACCCGGUGCACUCUUCUACGGGCAGGCCAGCAUCAGUUUGGGCGGUUGGAUAAAGGUCUCUGUCAUGUACCUCCUUUCGGGGAGAACUUAUAGGGGAGACGACAUGCAACCAGCCCGGACUGAGGUCCGCGCAUCUGCUAGGAUGCUGGCGUAAUGGCUGUAAGCGGCCCGUCUUGAAACACGGACCAAGGAGUCUAACAUCUAUGCGAGUGUUUGGGUGUCAAGCCCGAACGCGUAAUGAAAGUGAACGGAGGUGGGAACCUUUCGGGGUGCACCAUCGACCGAUCCUGAUGUCUUCGGAUGGAUUUGAGUAAGAGCAUAGCUGUUGGGACCCGAAAGAUGGUGAACUAUGCUUGAAUAGGGUGAAGCCAGAGGAAACUCUGGUGGAGGCUCGCAGCGGUUCUGACGUGCAAAUCGAUCGUCAAA